UGGGACUCAGGAGGAAGGGGAAAAGGGGACAAAUCCAGGAGAGAAAUGAUCUUCAGACAAGGAAGAGUCACAGAUUUUUAAACAGAGCUCCUAGUUCUAUCAGCGGCAGAGCUGUGAAGUAAUAAAUACAACAGGCUGCUAUAAACCAGGAGUGAAUCUAUCCAGGAAGUUGUCACACAGACACCAAAGUGGAAUGACUCCAGGGGGAGUUCAAAGGCUUCUGAAGACCACGGGACCGAACGUCCAGCCUGGGGAGGACGCAGAAACUUCGGGUUGCCUUAGCGCCCUGUGCGCGCUUUGGCCCGCCUCUCGCCAUGGCUGGGCUGUUGUUGAUUGACAUGUGUCUCGCCCAAUGGCCUGCAACCUGGAGGACGCCAGCCCAGCAACAGUGAGGACCAGCAACGGUGAGGACCGAGGCAGACGUGCUCAGAGGGCAAGAAACAACUGAUGCAAGGAAGGGGGAAAAGGAAAAGAAGGCAGGGGAAGUGGGAAAGGAGGAUGGAAAAAAGGCCAGAGAAAUGUGAGAUCUACAGUCUCCCUAGUUAUAAAACCACUGGGUCUGGUCCCCGGGGAAAGUUCCACAGGUGAGAGACCUGGAAGAGAAAGGAGGCACCACCCCUUGCCCUACAUCUGCCACCCAGGGCUCAGUCCUUCCUUGUGACCUCAGCCGGGAGCCUAGAGUCUUCCCCACCUGCCGAUCGGCCCCCGCGACUCCACACGGGCCCCUGCCCUGCCAACACUGCUGCCUCUCGGGGGCGCUUGCUCCCUCCCGUCUCCAGGGCAACCUGGAGAUGCGCUGGCCCUCCACACCUGCCGGAGACCAGUGGGAGCAGCCUGGGUUCACCUCGCAUGGGACACCGCUGCCGCCACACUUUUCUUCAAGAGUACGACAAGACGCUUCGGCGAGGAUCAUGCGUAGACGCAGAAUACAUGGACUGUAACCCGGCUUCCCCAAGCACCCUUGUGAGCGGGUGACGCAACGGGAGCUCUGCGACCGUAUGACCUGUGAUGUGUGAAUGGCCACCCCCGACAGGGUGCUGAAUAACGACUUCACGUGAGCCUGAGAGGGACGCACGUGCCCAUUCCUGUGGCUCGUGUUGCCGGGUGAUGGGGCGGGCACGGCGGCGCGCUCAGCAACGCGAGCAGCGCAGAGCGAGGGGGGCCACCAAUGCCGAAUGAGAGAAUUAGGACCCAAAUAUCCAGUCAGCCCGGAACAAUACCAUGAAUCCACAAAGCGAAAGCCCUGUGCUUGGGCCCUGAAACAUGGCUGCCUGAGUCCCAGAGCGGGGUGUGGCUUCACCGCAGCACGCGUGAGAAAGACUGCUGGAUUUGUUGUGUGUAAAGAGAGAGGGUGUCUGCCAAGCAGGGCUGUGACAGCAGACGUGUGAGGGUAGGAAUAAAGUGAGUGUGCAACUCCCCUCUGCUCAGAUCAGUGCCUCCAGGGCCCCACACUGUAAGAAGGACCGUGAAAAGCUGAUAUCCAUCCAGUGGAAAAUGAUGAGGACAGUGGUGCCGACUGAAGCCAUGUCAUAUGAGCAAUGGCUGAAAGAGCUAUGUUUAGCCUGGAGAAGAAGCUAGGGGGGACAUGAGAGCUGCUUUCAAAUAUUUGAAGGGCUGUCACAAGGAAGAGGAAUUUAAAUGUGUUCUCUGUGGCUCCACAGGUUGAAACUAGGGCAAUGGAAGUGGCAUCGAGGCAGAUUGGAGCUAUGUAGAAGUCACGUUGGCACUGUUCAGCAGUUAGAGUUGGCCAAUAAUGAAACAGGUUGUCUCCAGAGAGACUGAGCUCCCCAUCACUGGAGGGAAUCAGCAUUUGUUGGGAAUCAAAAUUCCUCGGUAGGUAGGAAAUAUACGAUCUCGGAGUGCCUAAAGGAGGUGAAUGGGAACACCGCGGAGCAGACCCCUCAGAAGAGCUCGGGAGUUCCAGAGACAAACUCACCUCCUUCCCAAAUUCCCCUCUUGGGAUAACUAUAGACAUGGGGGACAUGAGAAGAAGGAUGGAGACACGUGGAGGGAGGAGAAGCAGCAACAUAGGGAUGCUGCCAGAACGGGUGGACCGUGUUUGAGUCCUCAUCAAACAAACCAACUUUAAGUAAAUAUAUUUGUUUAUCAGCAAUUGCAUGUGGUUCAACCUAAUACAUUCUGAAGUAUUUGUGGAUGAAACAACACGAUUCUAGGAUUUCCUUCAAAAUGACCUAGUGGGGUAAUGGAAGGGAGGAGGUGGUGAUGAAUGAAACAGACUGGCCAUGAGUUAGUAAUUACUGAGACUGGGUGCUGCGUCCAAGGGCCUCGUUAAACUUACAAUACUCUCUACUCUUGUAUAUGUUUGAAAUUUUCUAUAAUUAAAGUUUUAAAAAGGAGAUGUUGCCAAUAUCUUGAGCAUCACUGCUAAUGUCACAGUAUAGAAACAGAAUUUGAAAAGGAUGCAAAUAUUUUGCAAAGGUCAAUUUUGGUGUCCAUGAUUAUCUCAGCACUUAUUAGUCUUUCUGGAAGUCAUUUGAGCAAAUUGCUAUUGAGCAGGGCAGGGAUGGAGAGAAGCACAUUCAUUAAAAAUAUGGCAAAAAUGUUGCUCACUUCUCAUUUCCAGGGGACCCAUUUGCUGGCUUCAGUCUCCUUCGUGGGAAGGGAAUCUCUCUGAGGAACCUUCUAGAAGAUGUAGGGUGUUCCUUGUGCCUUUAAUUGCUUUGUGGUGGUCUCUAAGCAGGACUCUUGUGCACUGGCUCCAGUGAUGUCACCAGCAAGCCUGCUUUGGAAAUUCAGGCAGCCCCUCUGCAGAGCCUGGCCCAUCCAAGCCCAGCUGCUCAGAUGCCUUCUCUAAAUAGAAGCCUUGUGUGAUGAUGUCUCCCUUCUGCCUGCUUGAGGAAGUCAGGCUGAAAGGCCAAGCCGAUUAAUCCUGAGCUAAUUUUUACCUGUGUUCACCUGUCGAUGUCAAUUUCCACAGACCCUGAAGAGUGCAGCCACAUGGCAUGGUGACAUGACAGCCUGUCUUUGGGGCAGGACUGUCCAUGGUGUAGGGUGGGUUCCACUGGCAGUUCAAGAACAGCUCUGGGUGGUCCACACACCCAGCCUUAAAUAACACUGACUCACAUAGAGAGA
Molecule: long non-coding RNA, 3093 nt
Organism: Equus caballus (horse)
Lineage: Eukaryota; Metazoa; Chordata; Mammalia; Perissodactyla; Equidae
Source: Ensembl